RNAcentral lists this ribosomal RNA (205 nucleotides) under uncultured bacterium. RNAcentral describes it as "partial 16S ribosomal RNA". It matches the Rfam family "Bacterial small subunit ribosomal RNA", at positions 28 to 226 of the family's 1533-position model. The record is from RNAcentral.
GACGAACGCUGGCGGCGUGCUUAACACAUGCAAGUCGAGCGGUAAGGCCCUUUCGGGGUACGACGAGCGGCGAACGGGUAGAGUAACACGUGGGUGACCUCGCCCUCCAGCUCUGGGAGUAAGACCCGGGAAACCGUGGGUCGUAAUACCGGAUAUGACUUCAUGACGCAUGUUGUGGAGUGGAAAGCCUUGUGCGGCUGAGGAU